RNAcentral lists this non-coding RNA (21 nucleotides) under Arabidopsis thaliana (thale cress). The record is from RNAcentral. Lineage: Eukaryota; Viridiplantae; Streptophyta; Magnoliopsida; Brassicales; Brassicaceae. RNAcentral also lists the same sequence under 1 other name.
UGACGGAAGGGCACCACCAGG